UACGGGGGGGGCAAGCGUUGUUCGGAAUUACUGGGCGUAAAGGGCGCGUAGGCGGGUGGACAAGUCUCUCGUGAAAGCCCACGGCUCAACCGUGGAAUUGCGGGAGAUACUGUCUGUCUUGAGUCCGGGAGAGGAGGGUGGAAUUCCCAGUGGAGCGGUGAAAUGCGUAGAUAUUGGGAGGAACACCGGUGGCGAAGGCGGCUCUCUGGACCGGUACCGACGCUGAGGCGCGAAAGCUAGGGGAGCUAACGGG
This 253-nucleotide ribosomal RNA is filed under the name uncultured bacterium. Its description in RNAcentral is "partial 16S ribosomal RNA". It matches the Rfam family "Bacterial small subunit ribosomal RNA", at positions 524 to 776 of the family's 1533-position model. The record is from RNAcentral.